UACAAACUCAUUCAAAUAUUACAUACAAAGGAUAUCUUCACUUCAUUUGCAGUGUUAGAACUAGUUUAAGAUUCAGUGGAAAUGUAAGGAAUAAAAGCAAGAAAAAAGUCUUUAAAUUAUUAGUGGAAAUAUAUUAUUAAUGGAAAUACAUGAUUAUUUUUUUCCACAUUUCAGAAAACACUUGCAAAUAACUGGGUUCUGUGUUCAGUACUCAUCUUCCAUGAAGAAGACUUUUGCAUACACUCAGAAGGCACUUGAAAUUCCCAGAGGUCAGGACGUCUGAGGAGGAGGGACUGUUUAUCAGCUAGGUAGUAACAUGUUUGUUUUUAAUAAGUGUGAUAUGAAUAUAAAUUCGAACAGCCAUAAAGCAUUAAGAUGCAAAAUCUUAGCUAGGCAUGCUAACUGAAGGGCUGCAAAGCUGGAUUACAAGAAAUCCUUCACGUCGCUGCCACCAUUACUCAUCAUCUCCACCACAGAGGAGCAGGAGUGCCUUCCUGUAGUCCCCAGAUGUAUCUUUCUGAAUCAUCUGAUACAACGAUUUCGCAAAAUUCUUUCUGAAUUCAUGUCUAAUAUCCAACAGGUCGAUUUCACUUCUUGAAACCAUGACUCUGAUCAGGGUAUCAUCAUCAGUGCCAGCCCCUUUCAUGGAAUAAUACAAAGUUUCAGCAAAAUAAGCAGGCACACUUCGGAUGCACUUCACAACUGCCAAAAGCAACUUCUCCAAAUCACCAGAGGUUUCACGGUCAAUGGUUUCUUCAAUUUGAAAGCCAGAAAUAGUCAUGUAUUUGUCAAACACCCUCCUCAAAUGAGAAACACUUCGAGUUCCCAAGAUAGUGAUGAAUGUUUCUUCAUCUGUUCCCCAUUUUAGCUCCCCAGCUCUAAACAAGACCUGAGCAUCCUUCUCAACAAGAGCCUCGUCAACUCUGCCAUCAGGAUCUCUAUUUGCCUGCAGCAGGACCACCAGCAGUCUCUGAAAAUGGCCUGAUGUCUCUCCUGUGAUCUUAUCCUCCAAGUUGGCCUCAUACUCUUGCAUAUAAACCUGUUUAAUAUUCUGCACUUCAGCAGGUGUUCUGGAGGCAAGAAUUUCAGUCAACACUUUCUCAUUGGUUCCUGCUCCCUUGAUUGCAUGCUUCAGUGCAUGAGCAUCAAAAAUACGUGCUGGUCUCAUCAAAGAUACCAUCAGUGUUUCAAACUUGCCAGUAAGUUCUGAUUUCAGGUCAUCCACAAGAUCCCUGCCAAACAGUGUUUUAAAAGCAGAUGCAAUUUCUUGACGUUGAGCAUUAUUUCUGCUGGUAAGGAUCUUCAGAAUUGUCUCUUCAUCAGUCCCCAUUCCCUUCAUGGCCUUGCGAAGGGCUUCUGCAUCAGCUCUGGCAUCAAAAGGAGAGAAUGCUGUCACGGUGCCUCUUGUAUACUUCGCCAUCUCCGCGGUUCGCCGGGUCGGGGCUGGAGUCGAAUCUGAGUCGCGAGCGUCCGCCGAGCCGCCGCCGCCUCCGAGAGCCGCAGGGAGAGCCGAGUGAGACGCAGAAAAUGAAGCGAGCUCCGGCCCCGCCGCUGCCUGCUCCACCCGGGGGCCGGGCCAGGGACCGCCCCGGGCGGGCGGAGAGCCACGGCCGCCUCCAGCGGGCGGUGGCCGCGGUGUGCCCGGCCCGGGGCCCCGCGAGCUGCGGCCGCAAGGCGGGGAUCGCCCCGGGGUGGGCAGCGCCGUGAGCUCGGACGCGGGACUCCCUGUGAGGGCUUUCACUUUUGCGACGGCUAACAGGAGGAGCGCUUCAGGAGCCCAAGUUGCCUCCACACAGAGGAGGCGGGCUGCGCGGCUGUUCCAUUAGCAGCUCCCUCAGCUGCUCCCUCACCCGCACCGAUGCGAUCCAGCUGGGCGUUAGGCGCAAGGAGGAAAAGUACAACACAAACGGAAUCUAGCGCCGUUGCCAAAAUAAGACGCUAUCAUCUCCUUACGUGAGGUUUCUAACGUGCUGUGGUCGUGUUCGUCUUAAAGCCAGUCACGUUUUUCUUCAGAAAACACCAACUUUACUGAUCGUGGGAUUAAUUUAAAUGUUCCGUCCGUCAUUUCUUGUUCCAGUGCCCAUAACGUUCAGGAAAAACAUGAAAACCACCCAGCUGGCUUUAUCUGUAGGACCAGGGGCCAAAUGGUUGCAGUAAAUGCCCUGAUUUCCUAAGCAGAGCCUGAUUUUCUUCUAAUCUGUUGAAGCGGUGGCACUCUACACAUGCUGCAAGGUGCGUGAAGGGAAUAGUGAGUUGCUCAUCACAUACGUCUAAAAAUGUACACACGGAUGAGAUGUAGGGUCAGGGCUUUCAAGGAAACACCGAGUUAUACAGUGGUUCCAAAAAUCAUAGCUAAAUUCAGACUUACUGCUUUCAGGUUAAGCACAACUGAGCUUGCCCACACCCAUCCCUUUGUGGGAAAGCACAAGUCCUUUUCUCCCUCCACGUUAUAUCCAGGACAGAUACAGGUCACGCUGGGAUCACAUUUCAAGCUUUACUGUCUAGAAUGUGCACACAUGAAGGCACAAAAAAGGUGUAAGUGGGCCCUCUUUAAUGCACUCCACAAUCCUGAUGAUUAGAGGGAAGCCUGUGAAUGGGGGUUAUUGCAUUCUGAGUGCCAAAAGCCACAGGUGUGAGCACAGCCAAAGGGAAUUCAAACUUCGUUGGUGACUCAGCCAUGCGAUAAGGAGCAGCUAUUGAGCAAUGAGAAAUUUUUGAAAGGUUCUAUCAGCAUUAUUUGACCUAUUAGUCAGGUAUCUAGAAACUAGCAAAGCUCUAGUCCUCUUCACUUUGAAAUAGGUUAGUAAUACCUUUGUUUCAGCAAAUGCACAGAUACAUUUAUGUCAUUAAGGACACUGUAUCUAUUAGGCUUUACAAGUAAUAAAAGCAGCCUUUAAAUAAUUUAGAAAAAGUUGCAUGUUGGUCUCACACGUUACUUAGCAAUAGCAUCUGACCAGCUAGAAAGUCACCACACCACCUCAGGAAGACGGCAGUCCCAGCUCUCCUUCCCACCCCUGUGCUGCAGCAAGCCCCUCCUGGCUCCCACAGAGCUGCAAUGCACGCUUGGAAUUCUUGGCUUUCCACAACACCAAGCAUGGCUUAGACUAGGCAAUAUGACACCAAAUUUCUGCUAGGCUAAUGAAGGAGUUGCAAAACUGUUAUGCCUGCAAUAAUACAUGUUAAAAAAAGGAAAAAGAUGGUACUCCUUCCCAGCUUUUCUCAUAUAUUCUGAGCUAGGAGGAUAGAUUUUUUUUUAAUUAUAUGUCUUUUGAUUCCUAUACUUUAUUUAAUAUCUUCACUAAUCUAUGCUCCCAAAUAUGAGGAAAGUAUCAAAUAGCAUGAGAUGCCUUUACUUCCAUUUCAUCCAUAAACAUCAUGUUGGAGGCUGUGGAUCUGGGAGCAAAUUAAGACAUUGUUCUGCAGUGUCUUUGUGUAUGCUCUGCUUCUCACAUAUCAUGGAGGAAGUUCACCAUCAUUCUUUUCAAGGUAUUUGAGGUCAUUUUCAUCUCUCCUACCUUUGAGCAGCUUACACAAAGUACCUCGUUGUUCUGUCCUGUGUGCAGGCUCACACACAGCCAAAGAUGAGGUACUGUUCAACCAAACAAAGAUACCCUCUGGCUUUCAAAUUCAUGAAGAACAGGAAAAAGAAUCUCGGAUGCAAGAACAGAGCACUUUCCCCUCUCUGGAGGGGUCUGAAAUGCAUGCUGCAAGAUGAACUGGGACUCCAAUGGUGGAAAAGGUUAAACUGAGCAUAAAAGAGUGCCUUGUUGCCAGCAGAUAAAGUUAGGAAUAAAACCUUCUCCAGUUAAAACUAAAAUGUUAGCAAGAUUUGAUUAAGCAAGUAAAUAUUUGCAUAACUUCAUGGAGUGAGUGGGCAUCGAGGAGUUUUGCAACAGAAUUAUUAAUGAUUUGCCAGUCUAUUUGCCAAGAGCAGAUUUCCAAAAAACUCUCCUAAUUACAGGAUUUUACUCUGUGUUGAUUUGAAUGCAAAGGUGAAAAUAGCCAUAUCAACAAAUCCAGAAUGAACGUAAAGAUAUGAACGUACAGCUAGAAGGGAAUGCAAAUCACAUUGAUUACCUUUGGUAGAAAAAGGAUUAAGUCAGGCUGGAAGAGUUACAGAUGGUGACUCCUAACAUUAGAACAUUUUUGGCUACUGUGGGCAAGUGUUUAACCUAGCUGCUGUUCUAGUAUUAAAUAACAUGCACCUAUAAACAACAAAUAAGAUUUGUCUUAUUUUUUACAUGACCAAAAGACACAUAAGGUGAAAGCAGUCUUUUCCCCUCCUUCAACCACUUACCAGGACGUAGCAGUCUGCUCCCCAGUGCUGCUGCUCCUGGCACAAGGUAAUUUCAAUCCUUCCUUAGCACAGAGCUGUAAACACCUGGAAUGACAGAAAACAAUCACAAUAAUGUGCUUCAAAGUAAGGGUCUUAUCCAUACAGAGUGAAAUUCUGGAGUUCGUCUCAAAAUCAUGCUUUCAAAGUGCAAAAAAUGCUGGAAUACCUCACUGAGGUGGAGCGUGCUUUGGUUCAGCAACCUGAAAACCAAAGUAACCUCAGAAGCACAGACUACAUUUGCAACCUCACAUUUCUUCAGGAGGCAAAGAUGGG
This 4609-nucleotide long non-coding RNA is filed under the name Gallus gallus (chicken). The record is from RNAcentral. Lineage: Eukaryota; Metazoa; Chordata; Aves; Galliformes; Phasianidae.